ACUCAAAUGAAUAGACGGGGACCCGCACAAGCAGCGGAGCAUGUGGUUUAAUUCGACGCAACGCGAAGAACCUUACCUGGGCUUGACAUGUCGGUGACCGCCGUGGAAACACGGCUUCCCUUCGGGGCACCGUCACAGGUGGUGCAUGGCUGUCGUCAGCUCGUGUCGUGAGAUGUUGGGUUAAGUCCCGCAACGAGCGCAACCCCCGUCGCAUGUUGCCAGCAUUCAGUUGGGGACUCAUGCGAGACUGCCGGUGACAAACCGGAGGAAGGUGGGGAUGACGUCAAGUCCUCAUGCCCCUUAUGUCCAGGGCUACACACGUGCUACAUUGGCGCGUACAGAGGGCUGCGAUACCGCGAGGUGGAGCGAAUCCCUCAAAGCGCGUCUCGGUUCGGAUUGCAGGCUGAAACUCGCCUGCAUGAAGGCGGAGUUGCUAGUAAUCGCGGAUCAGCAACGUCGCGGUGAAUACGUUCCCGGGUCUUGCACACACCGCCCGU
RNAcentral lists this ribosomal RNA (497 nucleotides) under uncultured bacterium. Its description in RNAcentral is "partial 16S ribosomal RNA". It matches the Rfam family "Bacterial small subunit ribosomal RNA", at positions 899 to 1397 of the family's 1533-position model. The record is from RNAcentral.